This 253-nucleotide ribosomal RNA is filed under the name uncultured bacterium. RNAcentral describes it as "partial 16S ribosomal RNA". It matches the Rfam family "Bacterial small subunit ribosomal RNA", at positions 524 to 776 of the family's 1533-position model. The record is from RNAcentral.
UACGUAGGGGGCAAGCGUUGUCCGGAAUCAUUGGGCGUAAAGCGCGUGUAGGCGGUUCGGUAAGUCUGCUGUGAAAGUCCAGGGCUCAACCCUGGGAUGCCGGUGGAUACUGUCGGACUAGAGUACGGAAGAGGCGAGUGGAAUUCCCGGUGUAGCGGUGAAAUGCGCAGAUAUCGGGAGGAACACCAAUUGCGAAGGCAGCUCGCUGGGACGUCACUGACGCUGAGGUGCGAAAGCGUGGGGAGCGAACAGG